Non-coding RNA from Physcomitrium patens, 942 nucleotides. The record is from RefSeq and is a predicted model, not a curated record. Lineage: Eukaryota; Viridiplantae; Streptophyta; Bryopsida; Funariales; Funariaceae.
CUCGUGCUACUAGCGACGCUCAAAAACCUUUUUUCACGUUGCGCAAUUACUGCUUGCGACGAGUUUUGGAUCGAUCUCGCUGAUGCUACGCUACCUUUGCAGGUUUGGCUGUCUUCGGAUUGGGUUGGUUAGGAUUUCUCUCGUCUCAGAUGUAGAAGGUUUUGCACUCUGCUGUACAGUGGAUCCGCAUGUUCUUCCCUCUUGAUCGCUAUGUGCGUGUUCUGCCUGGGAAAGCCUUCAACCUCGAUCUCCCCCACAUACGUUCGUUAUUUUGAGAGGCAGUUUGUGACCUUAGGGACGCUCGCCAAAUCCAGGCGUCGGUUCGAGAUCGCGCCCAAUGCGCCUUCCGUGUCGGGUCCAUCGCCUUCUUAGGCUUUUCGGAUAGCGACUGAGAAAGCGAAUACAUCUGCCCAUGGCCUUACUAGAAACACGGAGAUUAAGCCCGAAGAUAUUGAGGAGAGUCAUUCUGGUCCGAAGCCGAAGAAUCGAGGUUUGAAGGAUGUCGAUAUAAACUUGACUGGAAUGAGACUCGUAUGCAUCACCUCUGUUGUUGGAACUAGAAUUUAAGUCAUGAACCACUUAACAAUGAAGAGUUUUGUUUGAUUAUAUGUUUAUUUAUUCUUCACUGCAGUUCAGCCUCCCUGUAGUAGGUGAUCUUCGGCGAUUUCAGUUUCAUGGUUAAAAAGCUAUUACUGGUGUGUCUUCUAUUGAAGAUAUUCGAUUAAUGUCGUUGCUCCAUUUGAUGCCGUGAUUUUCUUUUCUGGUUUAGGGUGAACUAGUGUCGACACUCACAGCCUGGGAUCUUGGGGGAUAGAGAUAAUGUCGUUGAUCCUUGAGACGGGUGCAAGGUAAAUAACUUGGUGGGUACUGAACUCUAAGCCUAAACUACGGGAAAAUGUGUUCAUGAGCUUCAACUUCGUUCGGUUCGAUUCUGGCUGAUGA